This 253-nucleotide ribosomal RNA is filed under the name uncultured bacterium. Its description in RNAcentral is "partial 16S ribosomal RNA". It matches the Rfam family "Bacterial small subunit ribosomal RNA", at positions 524 to 776 of the family's 1533-position model. The record is from RNAcentral.
UACGUAGGGUGCGAGCGUUGUCCGGAAUUACUGGGCGUAAAGAGCUCGUAGGCGGUUUGUCGCGUUGUUCGUGAAAACCGGGGGCUUAACCCUCGGCGUGCGGGCGAUACGGGCAGACUGGAGUACUGCAGGGGAGACUGGAACUCCUGGUGUAGCGGUGGAAUGCGCAGAUAUCAGGAGGAACACCGGUGGCGAAGGCGGGUCUCUGGGCAGUAACUGACGCUGAGGAGCGAAAGCGUGGGGAGCGAACAGG